GCUGAAGUGUCAUUUGAGUAGUCCCAGCUACUCAGGAGGCUGAGGCUGAAGUGUCACUUGAGUCCAGGAGUUCUGGGCCGCAGUGCGCUAUGUUGAUGAGGUGUCCACACUAAGUUCGGCAUCAAUAUGGUGACCUCCCGGGAACGGGGGACCACCAGGUUGCCUAAGAAGGGGUGAACCGGCCCAGGUCAGAAACAGAGCAGGUCAAGACUCCUGUGCUGAUCAGUAGUGGGAUCAUGCCUGUGAAUAGCCACUGCACUCCAGCCUGGGCAAAAUAGUGAGACCCCGUCUCU
This 293-nucleotide signal recognition particle RNA is filed under the name Cebus imitator (Panamanian white-faced capuchin). RNAcentral's name for it is "Metazoan signal recognition particle RNA (ENSCCAG00000006261.1)". It matches the Rfam family "Metazoan signal recognition particle RNA". Rfam says of the family: The signal recognition particle (SRP) is a universally conserved ribonucleoprotein. It is involved in the co-translational targeting of proteins to membranes. The eukaryotic SRP consists of a 300-nucleotide 7S RNA and six proteins: SRPs 72, 68, 54, 19, 14, and 9. The record is from RNAcentral. Lineage: Eukaryota; Metazoa; Chordata; Mammalia; Primates; Cebidae.